CACUGCUUUCAGUAAUAGUGAUGAAUUGAAGGAUACCUGGGCAAAUCUUGUUCGGGAUGCUUUGGAGCAUGAAGAGAAAAAUGAAAAUGCUGAGUUCUGUGUGAAAGAAGUUCAGUAUAUUCAGGCGGAGGUAAAGCUUAUCAAGUGCCUCGUGGACAACAUUGUUGUUGAUAUCUCAUAUGAUCAAGUUGGUGGAUUGUGUACACUUUGUUUCCUUGAACAGGUUGACAACUUGAUCAAUCAAAACCAUUUAUUCAAGCGGAGUAUCAUAUUGGUAAAGGCAUGGUGUUUUUAUGAGAGUUGUAUUCUUGGAGCUCACCAUGGUCUUAUAUCUACUUACGCAUUGGAGACCCUGGUUCUGUACAUUUUUCACGUGUUCAACAACUGUUUUACUGGACCACUUGAGG
Long non-coding RNA from Lolium rigidum, 407 nucleotides. RefSeq lists it as uncharacterized. The record is from RefSeq and is a predicted model, not a curated record. The transcript is spliced from 3 exons. NCBI's taxonomy places the organism in Eukaryota, Viridiplantae, Streptophyta, Magnoliopsida, Poales, Poaceae.